This 253-nucleotide ribosomal RNA is filed under the name uncultured bacterium. RNAcentral's name for it is "partial 16S ribosomal RNA". It matches the Rfam family "Bacterial small subunit ribosomal RNA", at positions 524 to 776 of the family's 1533-position model. The record is from RNAcentral.
UACGUAGGUGGCGAGCGUUGUCCGGAAUUACUGGGUGUAAAGCGCGUGUAGGCGGGAGGCCAAGUCUGCUGUGAAAUCGCCCGGCUCAACUGGGCGGGGUCGGUGGAAACUGGUCACCUGGAGGACGGUAGAGGCGAGUGGAAUUCCCGGUGUAGUGGUGAAAUGCGUAGAGAUCGGGAGGAACACCAGUGGCGAAGGCGGCUCGCUGGGCCGGACCUGACGCUGAGACGCGAAGGCGUGGGGAGCGAACGGG